UUAAGUUAUUAAGGGCGCACGGUGGAUGCCUUGGCACUAGAAGCCGAAGAAGGACGUUACUAACGACGAUAUGCUUUGGGUAGCUGUAAGUAAGCGUUGAUCCAGAGAUUUCCGAAUGGGGGAACCCAACAUGAGUUAUGUCAUGUUAUCGACAUGUGAAUUCAUAGCAUGUCAGAAGGCAGACCCGGAGAACUGAAACAUCUUAGUACCCGGAGGAAGAGAAAGAAAAAUCGAUUCCCUGAGUAGCGGCGAGCGAAACGGGAAGAGCCCAAACCAACAAGCUUGCUUGUUGGGGUUGUAGGACACUCUAUACGGAGUUACAAAAGAACAUGUUAGACGAAUCAUCUGGAAAGAUGAAUCAAAGAAGGUAAUAAUCCUGUAGUCGAAAACAUAUUCUCUCUUGAGUGGAUCCUGAGUACGACGGAGCACGUGAAAUUCCGUCGGAAUCUAGGAGGACCAUCUCCUAAGGCUAAAUACUCUCUAGUGACCGAUAGUGAACCAGUACCGUGAGGGAAAGGUGAAAAGUACCCCGGAAGGGGAGUGAAAGAGAACUUGAAACCGUGUGCUUACAAGUAGUCAGAGCCCGUUUAUGGGUGAUGGCGUGCCUUUUGUAGAAUGAACCGGCGAGUUACGAUCUGAUGCAAGGUUAAGCAGCGAAUGUGGAGCCGUAGCGAAAGCGAGUCUGAAUAGGGCGUUGAGUAUUUGGUCGUAGACCCGAAACCAGGUGAUCUACCCUUGGUCAGGUUGAAGUUCAGGUAACACUGAAUGGAGGACCGAACCGACUUACGUUGAAAAGUGAGCGGAUGAACUGAGGGUAGCGGAGAAAUUCCAAUCGAACUUGGAGAUAGCUGGUUCUCUCCGAAAUAGCUUUAGGGCUAGCCUCAAGUGAUGAUUAUUGGAGGUAGAGCACUGUUUGGACGAGGGGCCCCUCUCGGGUUACCGAAUUCAGACAAACUCCGAAUGCCAAUCAAUUUAACUUGGGAGUCAGAACAUGGGUGAUAAGGUCCGUGUUCGAAAGGGAAACAGCCCAGACCACCAGCUAAGGUCCCAAAAUAUAUGUUAAGUGGAAAAGGAUGUGGCGUUGCCCAGACAACUAGGAUGUUGGCUUAGAAGCAGCCAUCAUUUAAAGAGUGCGUAAUAGCUCACUAGUCGAGUGACACUGCGCCGAAAAUGUACCGGGGCUAAACAUAUUACCGAAGCUGUGGAUUGUCCUUCGGACAAUGGUAGGAGAGCGUUCUAAGGGCGUUGAAGCAUGAUCGCAAGGACAUGUGGAGCGCUUAGAAGUGAGAAUGCCGGUGUGAGUAGCGAAAGACGGGUGAGAAUCCCGUCCACCGAUUGACUAAGGUUUCCAGAGGAAGGCUCGUCCGCUCUGGGUUAGUCGGGUCCUAAGCUGAGGCCGACAGGCGUAGGCGAUGGAUAACAGGUUGAUAUUCCUGUACCACCUAGUAUCGUUUUAAUCGAUGGGGGGACGCAGUAGGAUAGGCGAAGCGUGCUGUUGGAGUGCACGUCCAAGCAGUAAGGCUGAGUGUUAGGCAAAUCCGGCACUCGUUAGGCUGAGCUGUGAUGGGGAGAGGAAAUUGUUUCCUCGAGUCGUUGAUUUCACACUGCCGAGAAAAGCCUCUAGAUAGAUAACAGGUGCCCGUACCGCAAACCGACACAGGUAGUCAAGAUGAGAAUUCUAAGGUGAGCGAGCGAACUCUCGUUAAGGAACUCGGCAAAAUGACCCCGUAACUUCGGGAGAAGGGGUGCUCUUUAGGGUUCACGCCCAGAAGAGCCGCAGUGAAUAGGCCCAAGCGACUGUUUAUCAAAAACACAGGUCUCUGCUAAACCGUAAGGUGAUGUAUAGGGGCUGACGCCUGCCCGGUGCUGGAAGGUUAAGAGGAGUGGUUAGCUUUUGCGAAGCCACGAAUCGAAGCCCCAGUAAACGGCGGCCGUAACUAUAACGGUCCUAAGGUAGCGAAAUUCCUUGUCGGGUAAGUUCCGACCCGCACGAAAGGCGUAACGAUUUGGGCACUGUCUCAACGAGAGACUCGGUGAAAUCAUAGUACCUGUGAAGAUGCAGGUUACCCGCGACAGGACGGAAAGACCCCGUGGAGCUUUACUGUAGCCUGAUAUUGAAAUUCGGCACAGCUUGUACAGGAUAGGUAGGAGCCAUUGAAACGUGAGCGCUAGCUUACGUGGAGGCGUUGGUGGGAUACUACCCUAGCUGUGUUGGCUUUCUAACCCGCACCACUUAUCGUGGUGGGAGACAGUGUCAGGCGGGCAGUUUGACUGGGGCGGUCGCCUCCUAAAAGGUAACGGAGGCGCUCAAAGGUUCCCUCAGAAUGGUUGGAAAUCAUUCACAGAGUGUAAAGGCAUAAGGGAGCUUGACUGCGAGACCUACAAGUCGAGCAGGGUCGAAAGACGGACUUAGUGAUCCGGUGGUUCCGCAUGGAAGGGCCAUCGCUCAACGGAUAAAAGCUACCCCGGGGAUAACAGGCUUAUCUCCCCCAAGAGUUCACAUCGACGGGGAGGUUUGGCACCUCGAUGUCGGCUCAUCGCAUCCUGGGGCUGUAGUCGGUCCCAAGGGUUGGGCUGUUCGCCCAUUAAAGCGGUACGCGAGCUGGGUUCAGAACGUCGUGAGACAGUUCGGUCCCUAUCCGUCGUGGGCGUAGGAAAUUUGAGAGGAGCUGUCCUUAGUACGAGAGGACCGGGAUGGACAUACCUCUGGUGUACCAGUUGUCGUGCCAACGGCAUAGCUGGGUAGCUAUGUAUGGACGGGAUAAGUGCUGAAAGCAUCUAAGCAUGAAGCCCCCCUCAAGAUGAGAUUUCCCAACUUCGGUUAUAAGAUCCCUCGAAGAUGACGAGGUUAAUAGGUUCGAGGUGGAAGCGUGGUGACACGUGGAGCUGACGAAUACUAAUCGAUCGAAGACUUAAUC
Molecule: ribosomal RNA, 2918 nt
Filed under: Staphylococcus capitis subsp. capitis
Lineage: Bacteria; Bacillati; Bacillota; Bacilli; Caryophanales; Staphylococcaceae
Description: bacterial LSU rRNA
Rfam family: Bacterial large subunit ribosomal RNA
Source: RNAcentral